GACGAACGCUAGCGGCGUGCUUAACACAUGCAAGUCGAACGGAAAGGCCCUGCUUUUGUGGGGUGCUCGAGUGGCGAACGGGUGAGUUACACGUGCGUAACCUGCCCUUGACUUUGGGAUAACUUCAGUAAACUAGUGCUAAUACCGGAUAUGAGCUGCUGCUGCAUGGUGGUGGUUGGAAAGUUUCGGCGGUUGGGGCUGGACUCGCGGCGUGUCAGCUUGUUGGUGGGGUAGUGGCUUACCAAGGCUUUGACGGGUAGCGGGCCUGAGAGGGUGACCGGACACAUUGGGAAGGCGAUUACGCCCAGACUCCUACGGGAGGAAGCAGUGAGGAAUGUUGCACUAUGGGCGGAAGCCUGAGGCAGCAAAGCAGCGUGUGGGAUGACGGCACUCGGGUUGUAUGCCGAUUUCGCCGGUGACGAAGCGUGAGAUACGGUAAUGGGUAGAGAAGCACCGGCUAACUACGUG
RNAcentral lists this ribosomal RNA (468 nucleotides) under uncultured bacterium. Its description in RNAcentral is "partial 16S ribosomal RNA". It matches the Rfam family "Bacterial small subunit ribosomal RNA", at positions 28 to 507 of the family's 1533-position model. The record is from RNAcentral.